Cricetulus griseus (Chinese hamster) is the source of this 698-nucleotide non-coding RNA. The record is from RefSeq and is a predicted model, not a curated record. Lineage: Eukaryota; Metazoa; Chordata; Mammalia; Rodentia; Cricetidae.
GUCUGUUGCUGUUUGUCUCUUCUUCCUUCCUUCCUUCCUUUCUUCCUUCCUUCCUUCCUUCCUUCCUUCCUUCCUUCUUUCUUCCUUUCUUUCUGUCUGUCUCCAGAGAAAGAAUUUCUCUGGUCAAUAAGCCACUAACCCGAGGCUGGAGAGAUGGCUCAGUGGGUAAAGCGCUGAGGUGUAAGAUGAGGACAGGAGUUGGGAUCCCCAGAACCCAUGCAAAAAGCAAAGUGGUCAUGGCGGCUGCCUGCAAUCCCAGUUCAUGGGAGGUGGAGACAGAAGCCUUAGGGUCCCAUGUGACCACUGGGGACUUAGCAAGGACGCCAUGUUCCCUUGUUGUUUCUGGAUGCAUUUCACCUUUCCCCUGUCCUUAUGAAACCACCACCACACAGAAGACAGAACUGGCAACAGGGCCCUGGUCCGCGGCUUGGUAUUAGAAGAUUAUUGUAGCUGGAGUGGAAGGCAGCAUCAGGAGCCAGGAGGAGACCUGCUGGGUUGGAGCGUCCAAAGAGAAGGCUGGAGAGCCAACCCUCCUUCCAUUCCUCUUUCUCUUCCUGGCCAAUGUCUAAAGUGCAUAAAUCAGUUGUGCCAAAAUUAGGAGAGAACGUUUAUGCUUUAUUACCACACAGCCACACAGCAACAACUUUGCAGGUGAUUAAAUAUGCAUCCGAUGAACUUUGCUGUAAGCUUGACUUAAU